This 807-nucleotide ribosomal RNA is filed under the name uncultured bacterium. Its description in RNAcentral is "bacterial SSU rRNA". It matches the Rfam family "Bacterial small subunit ribosomal RNA", at positions 8 to 806 of the family's 1533-position model. The record is from RNAcentral.
AGAGUUUGAUCCUGGCUCAGGAUGAACGCUAGCGGCAGGCUUAACACAUGCAAGUCGCGGGGCAGCGGGAGAGAAGCUUGCUUCUCCCGCCGGCGACCGGCGCACGGGUGAGUAACACGUAUGCAACCUGCCCUUGUCAGGGGGACAACCCAGCGAAAGUUGUGCUAAUCCCGCGUAUAUCCCAAGGGGGCAUCCCCUUGGGAGGAAAGCUUAGGCGGACAAGGAUGGGCAUGCGGCGCAUUAGGCAGUAGGCGGGGUAACGGCCCACCUAACCGACGAUGCGUAGGGGUUCUGAGAGGAAGGCCCCCCACACUGGUACUGAGACACGGACCAGACUCCUACGGGAGGCAGCAGUGAGGAAUAUUGGUCAAUGGCCGAGAGGCUGAACCAGCCAAGCCGCGUGAGGGAAGAAGGCCCUACGGGUCGUAAACCUCUUUUGUCAGGGAACAAAAACCGGUACGUGUACCGGGUUGAGUGUACCUGAAGAAAAAGCAUCGGCUAACUCCGUGCCAGCAGCCGCGGUAAUACGGAGGAUGCGAGCGUUAUCCGGAUUUAUUGGGUUUAAAGGGUGCGUAGGCGGACUUUUAAGUCAGCGGUGAAAGCCCGGGGCUCAACCCCGGCGAGCCGUUGAAACUGGAGGUCUUGAGUUGGAGAGGGGUAAGCGGAAUGCGCAGUGUAGCGGUGAAAUGCUUAGAUAUUGCGCAGAACUCCGAUUGCGAAGGCAGCUUACUGGCUCCACACUGACGCUGAGGCACGAAAGCGUGGGUAUCGAACAGGAUUAGAUACCCUGGUAGUCCACGCAGUAAA